This 953-nucleotide ribosomal RNA is filed under the name uncultured Clostridiales Family XIV bacterium. Its description in RNAcentral is "bacterial SSU rRNA". It matches the Rfam family "Bacterial small subunit ribosomal RNA", at positions 605 to 1533 of the family's 1533-position model. Lineage: Bacteria; Bacillati; Bacillota; Clostridia; Eubacteriales; Clostridiales Family XIV. Incertae Sedis. The record is from RNAcentral.
GGGCUCAACCCNGGGACUGCUUUGGAAACUGUUUUGCUAGAGUGUCGGAGAGGUAAGUGGAAUUCNUAGUGUAGCGGUGAAAUGCGUAGAUAUUAGGAGGAACACCAGUGGCGAAGGCGGCUUACUGGACGAUAACUGACGUUGAGGCUCGAAAGCGUGGGGAGCAAACAGGAUUAGAUACCNUGGUAGUNCACGCCGUAAACGAUGAAUGCUAGGUGUUGGGGGGCAAAGCCCUUCGGUGCCGUCGCAAACGCAAUAAGCAUUCCACCUGGGGAGUACGUUCGCAAGAAUGAAACUCAAAGGAAUUGACGGGGACCCGCACAAGCGGUGGAGCAUGUGGUUUAAUUCGAAGCAACGCGAAGAACCUUACCAAGUCUUGACAUCCCCCUGACCGGUCAGUAAAGUGACCUUUCCUUCGGGACAGGGGAGACAGGUGGUGCAUGGUUGUCGUCAGCUCGUGUCGUGAGAUGUUGGGUUAAGUCCCGCAACGAGCGCAACCCUUAUCCUUAGUAGCCAGCAGGUAAAGCUGGGCACUCUAGGGAGACUGCCAGGGAUAACCUGGAGGAAGGUGGGGAUGACGUCAAAUCAUCAUGCCCCUUAUGAUUUGGGCUACACACGUGCUACAAUGGCGUAAACAAAGGGAAGCGACCCUGCGAAGGCAAGCAAAUCCCAAAAAUAACGUCCCAGUUCGGACUGUAGUCUGCAACCCGACUACACGAAGCUGGAAUCGCUAGUAAUCGCGAAUCAGAAUGUCGCGGUGAAUACGUUCCCGGGUCUUGUACACACCGCCCGUCACACCAUGGGAGUCAGCAACGCCCGAAGUCAGUGACCCAACCGAAAGGAGGGAGCUGCCGAAGGCGGGGCAGGUAACUGGGGUGAAGUCGUAACAAGGUAGAAUCACUAGUGAAUUCGCGGCCGCCUGCAGGUCGACCAUAUGGGAGAGCNCCCAACNC